UGAUCGCGAAGUCAAGAGUUGGCUGGUGCCUUUCCGAACGGUGGGUGCGCUAGAAUUUGCUCGUUUUUGUUCUAAAGUGAGCCUCUUUGUGAAGUUGGUUGAUAUUUAGGUGGUUCGAGUGGGGACCUAAAGUCGCAACGAAACGACUGUGUGUGUGGGCGUCAAACGGGAAAAACUUGAUCUGAGGAAAACGAGAAGCAGAAGGAAAACGAGUCCAGUAAGCAGCAUCUUCGCGGCAGUUUAGUUUUUUCAUCGAAACGAGGACUCUUCGCUUGCGCUAUGCAACUCCUUCGAAUCGCUGUGCUAGCGACGGUUAUCGCUAUCUCACACGCUUUUCCUACCCCACAAGAUGUAGUGAAGGCGGAAAUACCUCCGGCAGACGCACCUGCGGUGGAAAACAAACCUGUCCCGGUUGUAGAUGAAGCGCCUGUAAAGAAGUUGACCGAGCAGAAGGAUGCAGAAACUAAGGAAAUCGAUCAGAUUCCAAUUAACGUUGAGGUUAAAGCAGUUCCAGUUAGCUCGCCUGCCGUGGUACAGGUUACCGAAAUUGAUGAACCAAAAGAGAAACCGGUGGAAGCUGUAAAAGCUGUGGAAGUAAACGAAAAAUCAGAAGUAGCGGCUGUUGUUCCAGCUAAAGUGGUUGUAGAUGCAGUGGAGAAAGUUGAAAGUAUUCCCGAAGUAACAAAGUCUGCUCCAGCAAUAGUUGACCAGGUUGUUAAAGAAACUUCGACUGCUGCUGACACGAUAGUUGCUAAGUCGGAAGUCGUUGCUUCGGAACCAGAGAAAAUUAUACAAGAGGUAAAGGAAGAGGUGAAGAUAGUCCCCGUUGUUGCCGAAUCAUCGAAAGAUGAUGUUAAGCCAUCUGAUGAAUCCGUUUCGAGUGAAGAGCCUAAAGCUAGUGUGAUUCCCGAGGCACCAACCAGGGCUGUACCUGUAAUCACUCUACAAAAAGCAGUAGAAGAUUCCUUGAAAAGCGAGGAAGUAAAAACGACACCGGAAGACGUCAAACCAAGCAUUGAAACUGCGAUUAAGGAAACCCUGAGGAGUGAUGACGGGGAAAAAGUUGUACCGAUAGUUGAAGAAUUACCAAAGGAAUACACUAAGGUUGAAGCUGAACCAGCGUAUAAGACUAUUCCGGUGGCAGUUGUGGAGGAUGAGCCAAAGAAAGACGAAGCCAAAAUUGAAACGGUAGAGAAGUCCGAGCCAGUUGUGAAAGCUGUAGAAGAACCAAAAGUUAUUGAAGAAACUAAAGCAGCAGUGAAAGUGAACGAACCCCAAACUGAAGUUGUAGAAAUAAAGGAAGCUGAGUCGAUCAAGGAAGCACCAGUGGCCGUACCUGUUGAACUAAAAUCCACAAAGUUGGUUGAAGAUCCAUUCAGUUUGGAUAUUGUUCAAUCGGAAACUACCGUUGAUAAACGCGAUUCAAUCAAAUCAGACAAGGAUGAGCCCAAAGUAUUCAUAGUCGAAGUGACACCGGUGGCAAAGAUCGAGGAAAUUUCAAAGGUUGAACCUGAAAUUAUUCAAGCAAUUUCGGUGAAAACAGUACCAGCCACUGCCGCAAUUCCUGCUGAGAAGGUCAAUGAGGCUCCAAAAACAGAACCCGCAGUAGAAACCCCUAUAGAGGAGACUAAAGUGAAAACUGCUGAGCCGAUUGAACAGGUGGAUGGGAGUUCAACUAAAGUCUCAACGCAAAAAGUUGAAGAUAAGGGUGACGGUGACAAUUCUGCCGUUAAAUCUUCGGAAGAAGUUAAGCAUGUGACGACCGAACAAGAAAAAACACUCGACACACCGACUGCUGAGACUGCACCAGCCCCAGUAAAGGCCGAAGGCAAGAGCAAGGGGAAGAAGAAGUUGCCAGGUUCGAACAAAAAACAAAAUACGAUGUAAAUGAGAUGAAUUGAAUCAAUUGUACUAGCCUUGCUGUAUUUUCAAAUGCUAACAAUUAAUCCUAAGAGCUAACAUUCGAGGGUAUCGGAAGCGUCUACAGCAGGAACAGCAUAGGGCGUAACGUUCGAUGAGGAUUUGAAUACUUACUGGCUGAAUUAUUUGCUUAUUGUGGACUGCAAUUCGAAUUAGUUCGCCAGUAAGACACGUGGUUGAUCCUGUAGACGGGAUUGAGCUUCGUUUUAAGGCUUACCUCUAUGCUCGUACAAUAAGUUAGUUUUACGCAUUUGAAUUUAUGUUGUCAUUAGCUGGUUUCCUUACUGGCAAGUUGAAUGAAAUCGAACUAUCAACCAAUACGGUUAAUGCGAAUUAUAGUAUUAUAAUCUGCUUAAGCUAGGCUAAAAAGGAAGAAUCAAUUCUAUGAAAAUA
Molecule: RNA transcript, 2313 nt
Organism: Topomyia yanbarensis
Lineage: Eukaryota; Metazoa; Arthropoda; Insecta; Diptera; Culicidae
Gene name: fibrous sheath CABYR-binding protein-like
Exons: 3
Source: RefSeq, a predicted model, not a curated record